AGAUGGGAGCUUGCUCCCUGAUGUUAGCGGCGGACGGGUGAGUAACACGUGGGUAACCUGCCUGUAAGACUGGGAUAACUCCGGGAAACCGGGGCUAAUACCGGAUGGUUGUUUGAACCGCAUGGUUCAGACAUAAAAGGUGGCUUCGGCUACCACUUACAGAUGGACCCGCGGCGCAUUAGCUAGUUGGUGAGGUAACGGCUCACCAAGGCGACGAUGCGUAGCCGACCUGAGAGGGUGAUCGGCCACACUGGGACUGAGACACGGCCCAGACUCCUACGGGAGGCAGCAGUAGGGAAUCUUCCGCAAUGGACGAAAGUCUGACGGAGCAACGCCGCGUGAGUGAUGAAGGUUUUCGGAUCGUAAAGCUCUGUUGUUAGGGAAGAACAAGUGCCGUUCAAAUAGGGCGGCACCUUGACGGUACCUAACCAGAAAGCCACGGCUAACUACGUGCCAGCAGCCGCGGUAAUACGUAGGUGGCAAGCGUUGUCCGGAAUUAUUGGGCGUAAAGGGCUCGCAGGCGGUUUCUUAAGUCUGAUGUGAAAGCCCCCGGCUCAACCGGGGAGGGUCAUUGGAAACUGGGGAACUUGAGUGCAGAAGAGGAGAGUGGAAUUCCACGUGUAGCGGUGAAAUGCGUAGAGAUGUGGAGGAACACCAGUGGCGAAGGCGACUCUCUGGUCUGUAACUGACGCUGAGGAGCGAAAGCGUGGGGAGCGAACAGGAUUAGAUACCCUGGUAGU
This 740-nucleotide ribosomal RNA is filed under the name Bacillus siamensis. Its description in RNAcentral is "bacterial SSU rRNA". It matches the Rfam family "Bacterial small subunit ribosomal RNA", at positions 70 to 794 of the family's 1533-position model. The record is from RNAcentral. Lineage: Bacteria; Bacillati; Bacillota; Bacilli; Caryophanales; Bacillaceae.